Molecule: non-coding RNA, 146 nt
Filed under: Bordetella hinzii
Lineage: Bacteria; Pseudomonadati; Pseudomonadota; Betaproteobacteria; Burkholderiales; Alcaligenaceae
Description: FMN sequence
Rfam family: FMN riboswitch aptamer (RFN element)
About the family: The RFN element is a highly conserved domain that is found frequently in the 5'-untranslated regions of prokaryotic mRNAs that encode for flavin mononucleotide (FMN) biosynthesis and transport proteins. This element is a metabolite-dependent riboswitch that directly binds FMN in the absence of proteins.
Source: Rfam by way of RNAcentral
GUACGUCUUCAGGGCGGGGUGAAACUCCCCACCGGCGGUAUGCCGCGCAAUGCGGCGAGCCCGCGAGCGCCCGGCACACGCCGGGGUCAGCAGAUCUGGUGAGAUGCCAGGGCCGACGGUCAUAGUCCGGAUGAAAGAAGAUGUGC